AUUCUUACCACCGGGGCCACCAGCCCAGAUAGACACUGAUCAUCUGCAACACCCGUCUGAUGGACAAGAUUGCCCUGCAGAGUUCAAGUCUGAGAGUUCCCCUAGAGCUAAACUCUCCUAUCAAGGUGCUUCAUGCAGACAUCUGUACACCAGAUUUACUUCUGCAAAAUGCUGAUGCUAUGAAUAAUGCUUUUGAAUAUUAAUAAGGCAAAACAGACCAGGUAUGUUAUUUUAUCAAGCAAGAAAUUUGUCAUUAAAAUAUAUCCAGCAAGAUAUGAAAAGAGAUUAGUAGGUGAGAAAUGUUUUCAUGUUAAACUUUUUAAAAACUACUCCUCAAACAA
Molecule: long non-coding RNA, 341 nt
Filed under: Homo sapiens (human)
Lineage: Eukaryota; Metazoa; Chordata; Mammalia; Primates; Hominidae
Description: HSALNT0209412
Source: RNAcentral